GUGACUGUGCGUUCCCGCCGCUCCGGGCCGGUCGGCUGAUCCGCCGGUCAGAGGUCGGCGGCGGCGCGCGCUCUGCCGGCAGACAGGUCGCGGUGUCGAGCGUGCCGGGAGGGAGGUCCCGGUCGGACUGAAGGGAGGCGGCUGAAUCAGCGGUCCGUGACCUCUGUCGCCCUCGGUGUGACCCGUGCGGCGCCAUGUGGGGUCGGUCCCGGCCGGGCGCCUGGUACCGCUGGUACCACCUGGCGCUCAUGACGGCCACCUACAUCACCGGCGAGCUCUCCCACUUCUUGGUCGGCAUCGUCAGCCGCCAGAUGGCGCAGGAGCUCCACUACGGCGACAUCGGCUGCGUGGAGCGCGAGAACGCGACAGACGCUGGCGCCGACUGCUACACCUUUACCGACAAUACCAGCUGCACGGCAGUGGACGCCUGCGAGUGGACCUACACGGGUCUGGGCAUCCAGUACCAGGUGCUGGCCGGGCCGGCCUUCAUAGGAGCCUUCACUCUCGCCGGCCUGGUGUUCGGCAGUCUGGCUGAUUCGUACAACAGACAGCGUCUGCUGACGUUCAGCACCGCCCUGCUGACCGUCUCCACCUUCCUGAUGGGGUUCGCCGCCGAGUACUGGCACCUGGUGCUCUUCAGAAUGUGCACCGCAGCCGGGGAGGCGGGUUUCGCGCCACUAAGCUCCGGCAUGAUAUCGGACCAGUUUCCGCCGCAGCUGCGCGGCAUGGCUAUGUCCAUCUUCACCUGGGGCAUCUACUUCGGCUACGGCAUCUCCUACGCCAUCGGCAACUACGUCUCGGCGGCCGACAUCAUGGGACAGAGCUGGCGAUGGGCGUAUUACGUGGCGGCCAUUCCCGGAGCCGUCCUGUGCUGCCUCCACCUGACGGCGCACGACCCGCGGACCAGACAGGCGGUGCUCAGCGACGGAGAACACGACCUCUACCGGAUAAAGACCUCGGAGUCAGAGGCGGCACCGGUCGCCGCCGCGGAGGCCGCCGAGGGCGCUGGGUCGCGCGCCGGCUGGUGGAGCCGGUUCGUGGUGGACAAGCUGCGGGUGUUCCUGCAGCCGAGCAUCCUGCUGUUGCUGCUCGGCGCCUCAAUGCGACACACCGCCGGGUUCUGCUGGUCGACAAACACUCAGCUGUACUUCCAGACCUACUACCCGACGGCCGACCUGGGUCUGUGGCUCUCCUGGGUCAGCAUCGUCGGCGGCUCCAUCGGUGUCACCGUAGGCGGUGUGGUCAGUGACCGGCUGGUGAAGCGGAUCGGACUCCGGGCCAGGAUCUGGGUACUCUCGGCCAGUCAGCUGGUGGCCACGCCGUUCGCGGUGGGCGUGCUGUACUUUCCGCCGCAGUGGUGCUUCGUCAGCCUCCUCACUGCCUAUCUGUUCGCCGAGAUGUGGUUCGGAGUGGUACUCGCCAUCGUCGUCGAGCUGGUCGAGCCCGACGUCAAGUCCUCCACGGUCGCCAUCUUCCUCUUCAUCAUCAACAACGUGGGCGGCAACAUGCCGCUGGCGGUGGACGGGCUCAGCGACGUCAUCGGCUACCGGGACGCCCUCUACGUGCUCUACCCGGGCAUGUACUUCGCCAGUUCGGUGGUGUUUCUUCUGACGGCGUUCGCGCUCCGCCGGGACGGCCAGCCGCCCGCCGCCGCUCAGGAGCUGGCAGAAUCAUAACCGACUCUCAGGUGCCGUCCUUUUGAAUCAAUUAAGGCUUUACUCGCAGAGUUUCUGCUCAGCUCUCAGCCUGAGUUCACAGUGUGUCUGAGCUCUCAAACUACAAACCCCAACUCCCGGAUAGCUCAGGAAACUGAGAGCCCUCUGAGAGCUCAGACGUCAGCUGUUAGUCGUUACUGUAAAUGCUCACACUCAGUUCGCCAGUUAUCGUGAUCUGCUCAUUUCGCCCAGUUCGCAAUACUGAGUUCUUUAGUGAGCUGCUGGCGACUGGUUGCACUUUGGCCUGAGUUUCGAGUGCUGAACAGGACUUACAUGCUCUCUUACAUGGAAGCAGAAGCCAGAAGUCGUCCCUGCCACGAGCGAUGGAUCGUAUUACAUGCGUAGCUGAUUAUAUAUGGAAACUGUGUCGUAGGGACGAUUUUGUAUUUGUUCAUGUUGUCACAGAUAUGGACUGGUCGUUUGGGCCGACGCCUGCUGUUUCCAAUAUAUAGGUAGGCAUUUUAGAUAUUUUGUGUUGUUACUCGUCAAUAUAUUCAAAUAGUAUGGUGCAAAAUAUUAUCCUUGGUGAGGAAUGUCAGCAAGUAAGCACAGUAAAAUGCCUUGUAUUUUAAACUUGCUAUUCUGAUAAAGAGCUGUGCUCGAAUUUAUCAAUAAACAAGUGUUUUUGCUUUAA
Molecule: unclassified non-coding RNA, 2349 nt
Filed under: Amphibalanus amphitrite
Lineage: Eukaryota; Metazoa; Arthropoda; Thecostraca; Balanomorpha; Balanidae
Description: probable sphingolipid transporter spinster homolog 1, transcript variant X1
Source: RNAcentral